Molecule: long non-coding RNA, 289 nt
Organism: Dermochelys coriacea (leatherback sea turtle)
Lineage: Eukaryota; Metazoa; Chordata; Testudines; Dermochelyidae
Exons: 3
Source: RefSeq, a predicted model, not a curated record
GAACAACCAGGAAGUUGCUGGAACCAAUUAAGACAGGCUAAUUAGGACACCUGGAGCCAAUUAAGAAGCUACCAGAAUCAAUUAGGACAGGCAGGCUAAUCAGGGCACCUGGUUUUAAAAAGGACCCCACUUCAGUUACUGAGGUGCGUGCAAGGAGCUGGGAGCAAGAGGCGUGCAAGAAGCUGAGAGUGAGUAGGCAUACUGCUGGAGGACUGAGCAGUACAAGCGUUAUCAGAUAUCAGGAGAAAGGUCUGGUGGUGAGGACAAAGAAGACCUGGACGAGCCAUCG